AUUCAUGUAUAGUUUUUCUAAUUCUUCUUUUAAUCAUGAAAUGCGAUCUUGAUCUAAAUAUGUAUUUUUAUUAUUCAUAUUUUGUUUGAUUAAUCAUGAGAAAUGACGAAAAUGAAUAAUCUUAUUGAAUUAAUAUUUAUAGAACUUGAAGUUACCGAUUAAAUGUAAUGGGCUAAAAACUCGGGAGAGAUUGAUACGACUGGACUCUUGUAGAUAAUUGUUUUAGUUUAUACUUUGAACCUUAGCUUUGAUGGCUUCUGAUUGGUAUAGUAUGUCCGUCUUCAUAAACGUGAUGUCUAUUAUGCAAGAGAGAAUUGAUGGAGUGCAGUGGUUUUGCUCUAUGUACUGGUCUUAUUCUAUGAUCAAGAUCAAGGCAGGGGUGUUGCAAGUUUGUCCAUGCAGUAUUUCUUUUGUAUGCGGCCUAAAGGCUAAAAUUGUUUCCUCUAAUAAUUCCAUGGAGAUGAGAAGUCUUUUUCUCUUUAUAGUGGUACUCCAUUAGAUACUAAUUAGACCUUUGCCAAAGAUAUCUAAUCAAUUGGGCAAAAGAAGGCACGAGAUAUAUGGAACUGAUAGUAUAUUUUAAUUGAUUUAGAAGAAAACCUUAAUUGUCAUUCUAAUGGGACUUCGUUUUUCCAAAUAUCAAUUUGAGAUGCUUAUACCUGGCAAGUCAGUGGAGAAUUUGCAUACUUUCCACAAGUUCUUUUGGAUUUAGAUAGAGGCAUCUAGGGUCCCAUAAGGUGAACAAUGCCUACUGCUUGCUAAACUUUUGUGAUCGUAUCACUAGCUGGAAGCAUUCACAAAGAUAGUCCUGCUAGGUACCUUAUUUAUCAGCAGGUGGUUGAUAGCUAGGACUUCAACUCAUAUGGUAGUUGUUGUGGCAAUGAUGACAUUAUGGCUAGGUACUUUAUACAAACAUUUGCCCGGUAAACAGGCUUUUAAAAGGGGAAGUUGGCCAAAUACCAAUUCACAUUUCUACGGGAGAAACUCUCUGUAUUUGUUGAUGCUGCAGUGUUACAUUCCGCUUUUGGUUUGCAAGUCUUUCUUUUCAGAUCUUUGACAUUGAGAAAGAGUUCCUUUUAUACAUUUCAUCUUACAAAAAAAGGUGUCUUUUAUACAAUUCAAAAUCUGUAACAUCAAAGUACUAGAUGCUUCAGAGCUUAUUUUCUGUUAACACUACUUAAAUGAAUGAUGCUUUCAGGAAUACAAGUUUGCUGGACAAGACACCAUGAUCUUAGCUGGAGUGAGCAUGGAAGUGAAAGUUCCCAAGACUUAGGCUGCCUAGGGUCCCAUAUUCUGGGAGUGAAAGAUGUAAUUGCCAAAAGCUUCGAGAAGAUUCACCAUGGCAAAGGCAGGAAUAGGAAUUUAUCCUCUAAUUAAGUUUUAACGCCGGUGAGCAUGAGAAGAUUGGACAGUGCCUCUGUGAGAUCUGUCAAAUUUUAUCUCAUAUUUCUCUUUAGUAAAGCGUCUUGCAUUCCAGAUAUGGAUGGAAGUUGAACGCUGCUUUGGAGUGAUUUUCUGUCACCUUGGUUAAGGCUCCUCCUCUAUACCCGAGUGUAAAGCUAUUUUCCUUUAGAGCAUGUUCAUGAAAUUUGCACUUCUGGCUUCUCAUAUCAAAUGUAUAUGCACUACAGUAUUAAUUGUUUCAUUAGUUUUAUCCACGA
This is a non-coding RNA of Nicotiana tabacum (common tobacco), 1661 nucleotides long. The record is from RefSeq and is a predicted model, not a curated record. Lineage: Eukaryota; Viridiplantae; Streptophyta; Magnoliopsida; Solanales; Solanaceae.